Micropterus salmoides (largemouth bass) is the source of this 1210-nucleotide long non-coding RNA. RefSeq lists it as uncharacterized. The record is from RefSeq and is a predicted model, not a curated record. NCBI's taxonomy places the organism in Eukaryota, Metazoa, Chordata, Actinopteri, Centrarchiformes, Centrarchidae. The transcript is spliced from 3 exons.
CAUUCUUCCUCCGUCCAGCCUUUUCUUUUUUUUCUGAGAGCCGAGCGGAGCAGAGCAUGAAAGUGACUUCUUCGAUCAUCUCUGCAGCCCGCGGCGUCCUGUUCAAUCCCUCCAUCGCCAUGAUGGACUUUAGGGUCACGAUUCGCUUCCUCCUGGAAACUUGCCUUGACUGAGAGGAGUCUUAAGAUGAGAGAUGCUCUGAACUCCAGCAGCUGCAGAGUGAAGCAGGAUUCGCUCUUUGUCCCUGAGGUCCACCUUGAAGCAAUGGGGAGUGAUCAGCUGCGGCAGCUUUGGCCAAGAUCUCGUCUACCUGUGAUCCUUGACACGUGGGAGCCCUCUUUCCUCUGGCAUUAAACAUAUGCUCCGAACAUAUGUUCCAUGCAACAUAUGCUCCGCUAAAGCUGCUGUUAACUUCUUUUUUGUGCCAAUAUAGAAUCCUUGAUGUUAAAAUAAGAUCUGAAGUAUUCAGCACCGUUCUAAGAAUUUCGAUGAACCCCGGGGAUCAACUCGAAGAAAAAUGGGGAAUUUCAUGCCUGUAAGGCAAAAUAGCAUCCAGGGAAGUCAUAUGAUGAUGAUGAUGAUGAUAACAUUUUGUCAGAUCGAGUAUGAAAUAUGAGUACAGUGUGUUUCUGCCUUCUUAUUCAACUACAUGUCUAUGUGUGUGUGUCCAACAUGCAGUGACUGUGUGUCUUGCAGGGAGGAUUAUUACCCAUUGCCUCCGUGCAUUAAGCCUCCCCUCAUCCAGUGCCAAAGGCCUGACCCAAAUAUGGCUAAAAGACAACAUGUGACCUGCUUAGCGUUUCACCCCCCGGCUCCGCUAGCUCCAGGCUGUGGUGGCGGCGGUGAUGGUGGCCCGGGUGUGUGUGUUGGGGGGUUGCGGUGUGCAGAGAAGGUGGGGGUAGGGGUUGGGGGGUUCAGUCUAUUAGUGGGAGAAAGCACAGAUGCCGGCAGAUGGCUAACAUAUUGUCCAGAGCUGACCCGAAUUCAGAAUAAUUACUGGAAAGUUCAGCGCUCUCAGGUCUGUAGCCUGACUGCACCUCCAGUCACCGACUGUUGAAAUGAACAGUACUAAGCAGAAUUAGUGGACAGUUCUUCUGUUCAUUAAUUUAAAUGUGAUGCUGAAAAGAAACUUUACAGAACCUUCCUAUUGUGUUUUUUGAAGAAUUGCACGCCUACAUAAACUUAAAUAAAGUUUAAAAUAACAAACAUC